This 525-nucleotide ribosomal RNA is filed under the name uncultured Pseudomonadota bacterium. RNAcentral's name for it is "bacterial SSU rRNA". It matches the Rfam family "Bacterial small subunit ribosomal RNA", at positions 120 to 640 of the family's 1533-position model. The record is from RNAcentral. Lineage: Bacteria; Pseudomonadati; Pseudomonadota.
GGGAAACUGCCCGAUGGAGGGGGAUAACUACUGGAAACGGUAGCUAAUACCGCAUAACGUCGCAAGACCAAAGAGGGGGACCUUAGGGCCUCUUGCCAUCGGAUGUGCCCAGAUGGGAUUAGCUAGUAUGUGGGGUAAAGGCUCACCUAGGCGACGAUCCCUAGCUGGUCUGAGAGGAUGACCAGCCACACUGGAACUGAGACACGGUCCAGACUCCUACGGGAGGCAGCAGUGGGGAAUAUUGCACAAUGGGCGCAAGCCUGAUGCAGCCAUGCCGCGUGUAUGAAGAAGGCCUUCGGGUUGUAAAGUACUUUCAGCGGGGAGGAAGGGAGUAAAGUUAAUACCUUUGCUCAUUGACGUUACCCGCAGAAGAAGCACCGGCUAACUCCGUGCCAGCAGCCGCGGUAAUACGGAGGGUGCAAGCGUUAAUCGGAAUUACUGGGCGUAAAGCGCACGCAGGCGGUUUGUUAAGUCAGAUGUGAAAUCCCCGGGCUCAACCUGGGAACUGCAUCUGAUACUGGCAAG